CCUACGGGCGGCAGCAGUGGGGAAUAUUGCACAAUGGGCGCAAGCCUGAUGCAGCCAUGCCGCGUGUGUGAAGAAGGCCUUCGGGUUGUAAAGCACUUUCAGCGGGGAGGAAGGCGUUAAGGUUAAUAACCUUGUCGAUUGACGUUACCCGCAGAAGAAGCACCGGCUAACUCCGUGCCAGCAGCCGCGGUGAUACGGAGGGUGCAAGCGUUAAUCGGAAUUACUGGGCGUAAAGCGCACGCAGGCGGUCUGUCAAGUCGGAUGUGAAAUCCCCGGGCUCAACCUGGGAACUGCAUUCGAAACUGGCAGGCUAGAGUCUUGUAGAGGGGGGUAGAAUUCCAGGUGUAGCGGUGAAAUGCGUAGAGAUCUGGAGGAAUACCGGUGGCGAAGGCGGCCCCCUGGACAAAGACUGACGCUCAGGUGCGAAAGCGUGGGGAGCAAACAGGAUUAGAUACCCGUGUAGUC
Molecule: ribosomal RNA, 465 nt
Filed under: uncultured Klebsiella sp.
Lineage: Bacteria; Pseudomonadati; Pseudomonadota; Gammaproteobacteria; Enterobacterales; Enterobacteriaceae
Description: bacterial SSU rRNA
Rfam family: Bacterial small subunit ribosomal RNA
Source: RNAcentral